Non-coding RNA from Myodes glareolus (Bank vole), 533 nucleotides. The record is from RefSeq and is a predicted model, not a curated record. NCBI's taxonomy places the organism in Eukaryota, Metazoa, Chordata, Mammalia, Rodentia, Cricetidae.
CAUGCAGCAGUGCUCCGUGGCUCUGCUUUAGUUCCUACCUCUAGGCUCUUGCUUAAUUUGCUCAGUGAUUGAUUGCUAAAAGGAUUCAGAAGACGGAUAAUUUAGUUCCUCCCCAAGUUGGUUUCAUUCAGUGUUUUAUCAUAACGAGGGAAGCAAACUAGGACCUAGAAUUGAUGCUGAGGUCCUUGAUCCAUGUGCGAUUGAGUUUUGUGAAGUGGUGAGAUGAAGAUUUAAUUUUAUUCUUCUUCCUAGAAUUAAGUUAAUGCUCUGUUAUAUAACAAAUGCCCCAUUUUCCCUCUCCUAUGAGGAUGCUAGCUUUGAAUCUUCAAAUGGCUGUAUUUACAUUGAAGUGUCCAUAGAAGGCACAGAACAGCAGGUGAUACUGACAGGAGGAAAGCAAAGCUCAACAACCUCAGGAGUCUACAAAUAAGAGAUGAUGAUGUGGGCAAAAUCCAGAAGUCGAUAGUGAGAGAGGUAAUGGUAUUGCCAAUCUCAAAGAUAAGGCUGGCCACCUGACAGUACUGGACUUUGGA